Molecule: non-coding RNA, 127 nt
Filed under: Pseudo-nitzschia delicatissima
Lineage: Eukaryota; Bacillariophyta; Bacillariophyceae; Bacillariales; Bacillariaceae
Source: RNAcentral
AAAUCCAGGAAACUCUGAGCGAUGAAGGCGAGAAAAAUGCGGAUGUCCCACACGAGGCGCUUUUGGUUCUAGAUGCGGCACAGGGACGAAUGGCGUUGGAUUCGGCACGUGUCUGGAACAAGGAAAU